Molecule: ribosomal RNA, 440 nt
Filed under: uncultured bacterium
Lineage: Bacteria
Description: partial 16S ribosomal RNA
Rfam family: Bacterial small subunit ribosomal RNA
Source: RNAcentral
CCUACGGGUGGCAGCAGUAGGGAAUAUUCCUCAAUGGGGGAAACCCUGAAGCAGCAACGCCGCGUGGAGGAUGAAGGUUUUAGGAUUGUAAACUCCUUUUGUGAGAGAAGAUAAUGACGGUAUCUCACGAAUAAGCACCGGCUAACUCCGUGCCAGCAGCCGCGGGAAUACGGAGGUUGCAAGCGUUACUCGGAAUCACUGGGCGUAAAGAUUGCGCAGGCGGGCUUGUAAGUCAGAUGUGAAAUCCUGUAGCUUAAAUACAAAACUGCAUUGGAAACUAUGAGUCUAGAGUGUGGGAGAGGUAGGUGGAAUUCUUGGUGUAGGGGUAAAAUGCGUAGAUAUAAAGAGGAAUACUCAUUGCGAAGGCGACCUACUGGAACAUUACUGACGCUGAUGCACGAAAGCGUGGGGAGCAAACAGGAUUAGAUACCCGGGUAGUC